UUGGUUUAAGGCAGCUAGUUUACCCGCACUUGUUUGUCUUCUUCUCACACCAUUGAUUUUGUACAAGCUCUACCCCCCCGAAAUCAAGGACACUCCAGAGGCUCCUGCACUGGCUGCCAAGAAACUGGAAAGUAUGGGCCCUGUUACAAAAAAUGAAUGGAUUAUGGUUGUCACAAUGCUUCUUGCAGUGUCUCUGUGGAUCUUUGGGUAUGUCACCUGUCUACUAUUAUUUCUACACAUCUAUGUAUGUGUAUGGAUGCAUCUUUUUUAACUGAUUUCUUAAGUUUGUUGACCUCUUGGGUGGAGAGCCUGUUUUUUUAAUUAGUACUUUCUAAUUUUCGUCAAUGUUCUGGUCACCAAGUUUAUACUCUCUGGCUUAUUAUGGAUGCACUCUUCGGAAUUCUUUUGUAUGCAUAACAUAAGAACUUAUGAUAAUAAUGUGAGUCAUCUCACAAACUCAACCAUGCUUACGAGUAUUACACCUUCUGUUAAUGACUAUCCAAUAGUCCACUAGUUAUACCUGUCUGCGUAGCAAUGCAAAUUGUUGUUUUUCUUACAAUUUCUCAUCGUUGAAUUCUGUACCAUCCAUGUGUUUUUGGUCCUGCAGAGACACUAUUGGCAUAGCAAGUACUGUAGCUGCAAUGAUCGGUUUGUC
Molecule: long non-coding RNA, 655 nt
Filed under: Vigna radiata
Lineage: Eukaryota; Viridiplantae; Streptophyta; Magnoliopsida; Fabales; Fabaceae
Description: long non-coding RNA (VRAD_LNC010758)
Source: RNAcentral